CUCUCAGUGUUGCUGUAAAAGACAGGAGGAUCUGUGUGCGCGUUCAAGGUGCGGCCUGAUGUCAUCCUUCAGGGUGGAAACCUGCAUGGAAACCAAGCAAAACUCUCUGGAGCUUUCCCAACAGUCUGCAGUGGAAGAAGUGAGAGAAACUAAGCUACAUCCUGGAAGACUGGAGGUGGAGAGAAGGAAGUUUUAGCCUUCCCAGCAACCUUAAACUUUCCUGCCAAAGGGGAACUGGUGGAAAAAGAAAAGUUUCUUCCAAGCAUUAAGACUGUGAUGUCAGUCAGCUUCAGAGAAACAGCAUCAGAUCACCUGAGAAUCAGCAUGCAAGCCUCAGGUUUGAAAGGCACCAGGACACCUGCAAGAGGAGCCCCAGUUGUGCCUCCUCCAUGAUGAGGCUCAUACAGAGGUGCAGCCCCUCAGAUGGUGACAGGGGGACAGCAACCAGUGCCCUCACAGCACUGUCACUGUGUGUGACAGUGGUCAUGAAGCAGGGAUGGGAAGUGCUGCCUGGACUGCCCCCAGCAGAAAGCCCCGUGGUGUCCCUUCCCCGCUGGUGCAGAGGCUCCGGGCUGCCACCGCAGAUCAUUUGACAAAUUUCACGGGCUUUUGAUACAGGCACAAAGGUUCACAGCCUGCUCGUCUAGUUGGUGAGACCAUCCAGUCCCUCUUGUGUCAUUUGUGGUGGCAUUGCAGACUUUGAGAACAAUCUGAAGGACAAACCCCAAGCUGUUUGGAUGCUGCUCAGCCCCAAAUACGUGAGAAGAGCUAUUCCGAUGUGUCUUCUCUGCACUGCAAUGCAGGGAUGGAGCUAAGGAUGAGCAAUGGGAGCACUGUCAGGAUUACAGCCAGGGCUAUCCCAAGAAGACAGGGGGGCCAGGAGCUGUUUUUUGGAAGAGGAGUUUGUCCAUUAACUCAGUCAGCUGGAGUGGAAAUAAAAAGGAGCAGCCCUGCUGGUCGGAUGGGCAGAUGAUGGCACCGACAGAGGCUUCCCAGUGUGACACCCCAAGGCUGCCCCUUCCUUGGGCCAGCGUCCUCAUCCCGCAGCUGUUUUCUCAGGCUACAAUAUGUGAGGAAAGCUGAUGCUGCUGUGCUGCUUAACUGGCAAGAAUUUGAAAAGAGGAAGCAAGUCGCAAGUCUGAAUUCCUGUUUAGAAAGAAGUGGCAAAGAACAGCCAUUCUUCACCUGAAGGAAAACCACUUGUCUGGCAGAGGCAGAGCUCUUCAAAAGUUACCAGCGUGAGGGUUCCUGUUUACAACGGUGAAGAGUAACUCACAUAAACUCCUGAAGGACCCACAAGCAUUGGCUGACUAACUACUUAGCAGAAUGAGAACAAUGAGCAUCAGGUAACGGGAUACAAGUGGAAAACUCUCUGUGAUGCCCAUGGAUAUCAGUACAAACCCCCUCUUUCAAUGCCAAGGUUAUGGGACUGACUGCAGGACUCAUUUUUGCUCAGUGUUGGGUCACCGCAUACGACAACAACAGUUAAGAAGAAAUUUGGUUGAUGUCUCAUUUUGAGGGACUCUACUACUGCCAGCCUCCUGACUCCAGACUUGCAGAAAGCAGUAGAUUGAAAGGCGGCUUCUGAAAGAGGGGCAUCUCUGCCUAAAAUCAAUUGUAACUAAAAACCUGAAAAUUGAUGGAUUUACA
Long non-coding RNA from Pipra filicauda (Wire-tailed manakin), 1650 nucleotides. RefSeq lists it as uncharacterized. The transcript is spliced from 15 exons. Lineage: Eukaryota; Metazoa; Chordata; Aves; Passeriformes; Pipridae. The record is from RefSeq and is a predicted model, not a curated record.